GACGGUUUGGCCGAGUGGUCUAAGGUGCCAGAUUUAGGCUCUGGGUCCGAAAGGGCGUGGGUUCAAAUCCCACAAUGUUUA
This 81-nucleotide transfer RNA is filed under the name Ipomoea nil (Japanese morning glory). It matches the Rfam family "tRNA". From Rfam's summary of the family: Transfer RNA (tRNA) molecules are approximately 80 nucleotides in length. Their secondary structure includes four short double-helical elements and three loops (D, anti-codon, and T loops). The record is from Rfam by way of RNAcentral. Lineage: Eukaryota; Viridiplantae; Streptophyta; Magnoliopsida; Solanales; Convolvulaceae.